Molecule: ribosomal RNA, 253 nt
Filed under: uncultured bacterium
Lineage: Bacteria
Description: partial 16S ribosomal RNA
Rfam family: Bacterial small subunit ribosomal RNA
Source: RNAcentral
UACGUAGGUGGCAAGCGUUGUCCGGAAUUACUGGGCGUAAAGCGUGCGCAGGCGGUUCGUGAUGUCUGAUGUGAAAGCCCCGGGCUCAACCUGGGAACUGCAUUGGAAACUAGCGGGCUGGAGUGUGGCAGAGGGGGGUGGAAUUCCACGUGUAGCAGUGAAAUGCGUAGAGAUGUGGAGGAACACCGAUGGCGAAGGCAGCCCCCUGGGCUAACACUGACGCUCAUGCACGAAAGCGUGGGGAGCAAACAGG